AUGGCGCCACGGCCUCACGCUCUUCUUCCUUUCGAUCUUGAUCCAUGUCGUCGUGUGGGACCCGUCGCCGGCGUCCAGCACCGCCUGGCCGCCCCCCUCGAUGUUUGUCUACCCAUGGGCCAUGGGCUGUCGAAGCAUCAGAACAAAAUGGACUCACGGGGGCUCGCACUGCCAGCGUCUCCAACUUCGCAUCUUGCCUACUGGUUCGAGCCCACCGCCACUCCCCACAAGCGAGCUCUAGGGCGAGAUGAGCAGCCGCCGCCGCCGCCACGCCCGCUCGCCGCCGGCCGCCGCCACGCCCGCUCGCCGCCGGCCGCGCCGCUGGACGACGACGACCUCCUCUCCGAGAUCCUGCUCCGCCUCCCCCCGCAGCCCUCAUCACUCCCGCGCGCAUCCCUCGUCUGCAAGCGAUGGCGCGGCCUCGUCUCCGACCCCGGCUUCUUCCGCCGCUUCCGCCUCCGCCACCGCCGCAACCCUCCUCUCCUCGGUUUCUUUGACAGAUUUCUAGGUCAGAAGUUCCGGUCUACCCUGGAGGCCCCCAAUUGUGUCCCUCCCGAGCGCUUCUCCUUGCAGCGCCACGAGGAUGAAAUGCGCUCCUUUUCCCAUGGAUGCCGCCAUGGUCUCGUGCUCAUCUCCCUUCUCAAGCGUCACCAGGUCCUGGUCUGGGAUCCCGUCACCAGCGACCAGCACCGCAUCCCCUUUCCCGCGCCGUUCGAUACAGCCGUGGUCAACGCGGCGGUGCUUCGCGAUGCGGGAGACGCCCAGCACUUCCAGGUGGUCUUGGCAGUGGCAGGCACCGAUGCCGAACAUCAUAGACGAGCGCUCGCCUGUAUUUACUCGUCAAAGACCGGCUUAUGGGGGGAUCUCGUCUCAACACCCAUUCCAUACCAGGCUAAUGGGAACAGUAUUCCCACAUUGGUUUAUACCGAUGAUGCUGUUCUGGAUGGAGAUUCCCUUUACUGGAAGCUUGUGGGGAAUUUGAUUGGAAUUCUUGAGUUUGAUCUGAAGAAGCAGACCCUAGCUGUGAUACAGGUGCCAAUGGACAUCCUCAAAGGUAACAGCUUGCAGGUUAUGCGGGCCGAGGGUGGUGGGCUUGGUUUCCUCUUCGUGUCAGACUCGGAUUGCACCGCCCGGCUAUGGAAGAGGAAGACCAAUCGUCAUGGUUUCGCUUCAUGGGAGCUUGCAAGGAGUAUUGAUCUGGACAAGCUACUUUCCCUGGAACCAGAAGAGAAAGCCCCCCUAGUGAUACUAGGGUAUGCUGAACUGAAUAAUGUGGUGUUUCUGCAGACAGCUAUCGGCGUCUUAAUGGUCCAGCUUGAGUCACUGAAGUUCAAGAAGCUUUUUAAAACAAUGACCUUUUCUCGCUAUCAUCCAUUCGAAAGUGUCUACAGUGCAGGAGCAUGUAUUACUGGUGGACACGCCAGGGCUGAGCUUAUGCUCAAUGCGUAA
Molecule: ribosomal RNA, 1449 nt
Filed under: Triticum aestivum (bread wheat)
Lineage: Eukaryota; Viridiplantae; Streptophyta; Magnoliopsida; Poales; Poaceae
Description: partial small subunit ribosomal RNA
Source: RNAcentral